UACGGGGGGAGCAAGCGUUGUUCGGAUUUACUGGGCGUAAAGGGCGCGUAGGCGGUCAGCACAAGUCAGUUGUGAAAUCUCCGGGCUUAACUCGGAAAGGUCAACUGAUACUGUGCGACUAGAGUGCAGAAGGGGCAACUGGAAUUCUCGGUGUAGCGGUGAAAUGCGUAGAGAUCGGGAGGAACACCGGUGGCGAAGGCGGCCUUCUGGACGGUGACUGACGCUGAGGCGCGAAAGCGUGGGGAGCAAACGGG
Molecule: ribosomal RNA, 254 nt
Filed under: uncultured bacterium
Lineage: Bacteria
Description: partial 16S ribosomal RNA
Rfam family: Bacterial small subunit ribosomal RNA
Source: RNAcentral